This 579-nucleotide ribosomal RNA is filed under the name uncultured archaeon. Its description in RNAcentral is "bacterial SSU rRNA". It matches the Rfam family "Bacterial small subunit ribosomal RNA", at positions 341 to 925 of the family's 1533-position model. The record is from RNAcentral.
ACGGGGCGCAGCAGUAGGGAAUUUUCGGCAAUGGGGGAAACCCUGACCGAACAACGCCGCGUGAGUGAAGAAGGUCUUCGGAUUGUAAAACUCUGUUGUAAGGGAAGAACGGUACGGAAAGGAUCCGUAAGUGACGGUACCUUACCAGAAAGCCACGGCUAACUACGUGCCAGCAGCCGCGGUAAUACGUAGGUGGCGAGCGUUAUCCGGAAUUAUUGGGCGUAAAGGGUGCGUAGGCGGUCUGUUAAGUUCGUGGUUAAAGCGUGGGGCUCAACCCCAUAAAGCCACGGAUACUGGCAGACUAGAGUACUGGAAAGGGCAGUGGAAUUCCAUGUGUAGCGGUAAAAUGCGUAGAUAUAUGGAGGAACACCGGUGGCGAAGGCGGCUGCCUGGACAGAGACUGACGCUGAGGCACGAAAGCGUGGGGAGCAAAUAGGAUUAGAUACCCUAGUAGUCCACGCCGUAAACGAUGGAUACUAAAUAUUGGGGCAACUCAGUGCUGCAGUUAACGCAAUAAGUAUCCCGCCUGUGGAGUAUGCACGCAAGUGUGAAACAUAAAGGAAUUGGCGGGGGAGCACA